Molecule: ribosomal RNA, 303 nt
Filed under: uncultured bacterium
Lineage: Bacteria
Description: partial 16S ribosomal RNA
Rfam family: Bacterial small subunit ribosomal RNA
Source: RNAcentral
AGCAGUCGCCACGGUAAUACGAGGGGGGCAAGCGUUGUUCGGAAUUAUUGGGCGUAAAGGGCGCGUAGGCGGUUUGGCAAGAUCGGUGUGAAAUCUUCGGGCUCAACUCGAAGUCUGCAUUGAUGACUGCCGGGCUAGAGUAAGGUAGAGGAUAGUGGAAUUUCCGGUGUAGCAGUGAAAUGCGUAGAGAUCGGAAGGAACAUCUGUGGCGAAGGCGACAUACUGGAUCAUUACUGACGCUGAGGCUCGAAAGCGUGGGGAGCAAACAGGAUUAGAGACCCGUGUAGUCCCUGUCUCUUAUAC